GUCCACGCUGUAAACGAUGUCUACUAGCCGUUGGGAGACUUGAUUUCUUAGUGGCGCAGCUAACGCUUUAAGUAGACCGCCUGGGGAGUACGGCCGCAAGGUUAAACUCAAAUGAAUUGACGGGGCCCGCACAAGCGGUGGAGCAUGUGGUUUAAUUCGAUGCAACGCGAAGAACCUUACCAGGUCUUGACAUCCUCGGAACUUGGCAGAGAUGCCUUGGUGCCUUCGGGAACCGAGAGACAGGUGCUGCAUGGCUGUCGU
This 261-nucleotide ribosomal RNA is filed under the name uncultured bacterium. RNAcentral's name for it is "partial 16S ribosomal RNA". It matches the Rfam family "Bacterial small subunit ribosomal RNA", at positions 793 to 1055 of the family's 1533-position model. The record is from RNAcentral.